Molecule: long non-coding RNA, 6268 nt
Organism: Alligator mississippiensis (American alligator)
Lineage: Eukaryota; Metazoa; Chordata; Crocodylia; Alligatoridae
Exons: 2
Source: RefSeq, a predicted model, not a curated record
CCCUGCCAUACUUGCCUGUGAAAAGGACAAAUUUAAGACAACCCUCCAAUAAUGUGAUUCUAUACAUGGAAAACUAUAACAAAUUUAUAAAUUUUCCUUGUGUACAAUCUAAUUAUUAGGGAGUCAUCUUAAAUUCAGAGUCAUCUUGGAUUUGGGUAAAUAUGGUACAUACUGGUAUGUAUAUGGGGUAUAAAACUACCAGCAUAUUAAUAAUGUCAAUAUAUAACACUCAGUUGCUAUAAUGAUGAAUGCUAUAGAAACUUGCCUUUUACUGUCUUGUAUAAAUAGUAUAUAUUGAUUAGGACUGUGCAAAGUUUUGGUCACUGAUUAGAUUUGGUGGAUAUUAGGCCCGUUUCAGUGGCCAAAUCUCCGAAUCUGAAUCAAAUCAGGAGACCCUUUAAUCACUCUGAAUCGAUUCAGCAAGAUUCAGAAAGAUUCGGUGAUUCAGACAUAGACACAGCACAUACCUCAAGGUACCAGGCGGCUCAAGGUAUCACAGCAUCUGCAGUGCUGGGGCAGAUGGAGCACUGUUCCUACUGUCCAGCAGUGAGUAAGAAGCUCAUAUAGGUGUGGAAGAAGCACAGGUUCCCCACACUUGAUCACUUCCUCAGGAAUGCCAUCUUUCCCUGGGGCCUUGCUACUGGCCAGAUUGCCUAUUCCUCAACAUUUGAAAUAUCAUCAAGCUCUUCAAGGACAAACAAACUCUCAGUAGAGUUAAGGGCUAUGUCAGUGACAUCAUCUUCCCUUGAAUAGAUUCAAGGUAUUGUUCUACCCAUCUUUUCAUCUGUUGCUUUGAUCUGUUAUGACUUUUCCUGGUGCUGUCUUUAAUGGAACUGACAUAUUUGCAGCUGGACCUGUCAUCUUCGUGAUUCUGUCAUACAUGUGUCUGAUGUUUCCAGCAUCAAGUGCAAGAUUAAGUUUUCUCUCAAAAUUGCAGACAAUAAUCAUGGGUGCAAUUUAUUGAGAUUAGUUGGAGAACACUCCUUGCUUUUUCAGUUCUUUAAAAGUUCCAUCUAAGGCAUUCCUCUUGUGAUUUAACAUAGUGUUGCAAGGCACUGAGGUAUGCCUGCUCCUUUAAGGGCAGAGGCAGCCUAGCAAAGGAGCCUUGGUCUAGGCAGAGCUCCACAGUUGCUGGUUACUUGAGUAACAGGCUAAUAAGGUUAUUAGCCGCCACCUGCAGGCAGUCAGCUGACCGGAAGGAGGGAGUACCCAGGGAACAUAUAUAAGCUGGGGGCUGGGGUUGGCAGUUCUCUCUGGCAAUGGCCAAGGGAAGGAGCUCCUGCACAAGAGAGCUACCUGAGACAUUGUGCUACCUUCAAGCACAGUAAGACUCUUGGAGCUCACAAGGUACCCAGGGCUAAGGGGUAUGCUAUCCUAAAAGUUGAAGUUUGCUGUCUUAAAGAGGCAGAUCACUGCCCUCAUGCUUGUUGUUAUGUUAUAGCCCAGUUGCUUAUGUCACAAACACCAUGUUUGUAUUAUUGUUUGUACUGGUGGUUUGGGAUAAGGCUAUUAGGGGAGAUGGAGGUCUCAUUAGUGCCCAGAGUGGAGCACAUGAUUGUGUAGAGCCCCAGCACCAGAAAAUGAAGCUGCAGGGGACUGGAGAGCCCUGGCAACAGAAGAGCACAGCUACAGGGGGCUGGAGAUCCCCAGUGUCAGAAGGGUACAGCAGACAAGGGCCAGGGGCCUGGUGACAAGAGGAGAUUGAUGAGAGUUAGUGAUUCAAAGCAGGGUCAGACACAGUGGGUCUAGGCUAGAAGGCCUAGCAAUAUUAAAGGGGUGGAGGCCGAGUAGGCCGAAGCCUCAACAGAGGGUAUAACAUCUGUGUAACACCAACAAGGCAUGGGGCAUGGUAAAAGGGGAGGUUUGGAGCCACACAAUUGACCCAUACAGCCUGAGGUGCCCCGUGCAGCACAGUACUGAAGAGAGGCCUGGCAAAGUGCUCAAAGAUCAAUGAGGUUCAGCGGGCCAGGACCAAGCGCAUGGGCAGCCUCCCAAUUUAUUUUACCAACAAGACAUGGCAGGUGAGAUAAGAGGGCACUGUUGGGGUGAAGUUCACAUCACAGCCACCUCUGGGGACCCCGCUCCAUGACACACAGCAGUUAGUUUGACUUUGAUCAAUGGAAUCAAUUCAUGUGAAUGUGCCUUGAACCAAUCUUGGUUUCCUCUGAUCUGUUUGCCAAAUAUAAAGUCAGCAGUGGCACAGAUCAUUCUUUUGAGGCUUCCCCACUUUUCUUCUGUAGUCUUGCAUGAAGGCAGCUCUGAAGCAGCCCCCUUCAAAGCCUCCAUAAACUGCAAGGUUUUUAAAUGAUCAGAUGUAUUGGUGAUGUUAAUGAGUGGCAAACACUGAUACGUAGAAGAGAUUUGCUUUCAUUUAAUCUUAAUGACCACAAGCGAGUGAUCAUCCUAUUCAAAAUGUGUCAAAAUCAGCACUAUGGUAGCUAAGAUUAAGGAGGACAUUCUUGGUCCAGCUGGUGCCAUUGACUGGAUCUUGGGUGUCUCCAUGAUACCUUAUGGCACAGCUUAAUUUGAAAGAAUGUGGGUGACGCACAAGUUAUAAUAGAAGCAGAACUCUAAUAGACGUUGUCCAUUAUCAUCAAUGCUUCCCAUGUUAUGUGUACCUAGCCAAAUUGACCAGGAUUCACUGUCAGCACCAGCUCUGGCAUUUAAGUCCCCCAGGAGGAUUUGGAAUCUUACUGAUAACACUAGCCAAUUCUCCAUAAAACUUAUCUUUAACCUUAGCAAAAGAGUUGAGUGUUGGAGUGUAGGCACUCACUAAGGUUACUGUAACUUCUCAGGUAUAAAGGCAAAACAUAAGGAUCCUCUCAGAACCAUUCAAUUAAUUCUUGAUUGUUUUGAGAAGAUUGUUUGUAAUAGCAAAGCUUACACCAUGUUCAUGUGUCCCUUCGGGAGCUUUCCCUUGCCAGAAGACUGUGUAGUAUUGUUCUCUUAAGGAGCCAUCUGUAGCCAGGUGUGUUUCUUGCAGUGUUGCGAUGUCAACUGUUUACAUCCAUAUUGAUCACUGCUGUCUUCUGCCUUUUUGUAGUGUUACAGGGAGUAUGUACAUCUGGCUGCUCAACUUCUGUAGUGCUACAAAGGCAUUUAAAGCACUACAGGUGUUUUGUCUUUCCAUGACUGUUAGCAUCUGGCCUGCUCUCUGCAGAGGGAAUAUUGUUCCACAGAAUCUUGAUACUGUUAAAUCCAAAAUCAAGGAUAGAUGUUGAAUGGCACCUUCCUUACAUCAUCUGGUGACCACAUACUUUAGAAAAAUAGAAAUUGUAUGCUUUGAAUGUGAUCAAACCUGUCAGUAUACCCUUCAUUUAAAGAGGCUCACAUGAAAGUACUGCUGUUCUUUAGGCCUUGACAUAAUUAGGAGUUGGUUGUUUUAGAUAUGGCUGAAGCAGUAAUUAAACAAAAAGCAAAGCAAAAAAAAUAAUGAAUUUUGUUAACAGUUGUUAGAUCUGUUGCAAAUAAAGAUGUUUCAUAGUUGGUAGGGCUGGAAGGGACCUAAGCAGAUCAUCAAGUCCAAUCCCCUGCCAUGGCAGGAAAGAGUACUGGGAUCAAACGACCCCAGCAAGAUGUUCAUCCAGCCUCCUCUUAAAGACCCCCAGGGUAGGAGCCAGCACCCCUGCUCUUGGAAGUUGGUUCCAGAUCCUAGCCGCUCUGACAGUGAAGUAGCGCCUCCUGAUAUCUAGCCUGAAUCUACCCUCUGCCAGCUUGUGACCGUUAUUUCUUGUCACUCCUGGUAGUGCUCAGGGGAACAGGGACUCCCCCAAUGCCUGCUGGUCCCCCCUGACUAGUUUGUAAAUGACCACUAGAUCCCCCCUCAGCCUUCUCUUGUGGAGGCUGAACAGGUUCAGGUCCCUUAACCUCUUCUCGCAGGGCCUGCCCUGCUGACUCCUGAUCAUGUGGGUGGCCCUCCUCUGGACUCUCUCCAUGUUGUCCACAUCCCUCCUGAAGUGCAGCGCCCAGAACUGGACACACAACUCCAACUGGGGCCUGACCAGUGUCACAUAGAGGGGGAGGAUCACCUCCUUGGACCUGCUCGAGAUGCAUCUGUGGAUGCAUGACAAGGUGCGGUUGGCCUUCCUGACCAUGUCCCCACACUGUUGGCCCAUGUUCAUUUUGGCAUCAAUAAUGACUCCAAGAUCCUUUUCUGCCUCUGCACUGACGAGAAGGGAGUUCCCCAGCCUGUAGGUAUGCUGCUGGUUCUUCCUCCCCAGGUGCAGCACCUUGCACUUGUCAGUGUUGAAACCCAUCCUGUUCUCAUCCACCCACCGCUGUAACCUGUCUAGGUCUGAUUGCAGCCUAUUCCUCCCUUCUAGCAUACAUCUAAGUGUCAUCUGUGAACUUGAAAAAUGUCUCUUUUGAACCACUGAGAGAUUGCUCUUCUAUUACUUUUUCAGUGUAACAAUCCCAGUUGGGUCCCCUAGCAUGUCAUUUUAAUGCCAGAGGUCAAAUUAGCUGCUAACCUUGUACCAACUCAUUUUAAACUUGUUCUGCUUUUCAAACUCAGUGUUUAUUCAUGAGGGUGUGUGCGUUUUUUAAAUCAAAUGGAAAUCUUUGAAAGAUGGGAAACAAUUAGCUGGCAGAAUAGGUGAUACCGGAGUUAUUUCCUGUUCUGUAGUGAAUGUUUCAUGGCAACUAGCUUGCAUGCAUGUAUACAUACAUGCAUGUAACAUAACACAAAAGGCACAGUGUGCAUUAUUGAGAUUUGAAUUUUGGAGUCUUGGUAGUGAGGUUACAGUUAUCCAACCUGUCAAACUGCGUUCCACUGUCAAUUAAAUCAAACUUUAGUUCCAAGAAUACAAGAUGGCUAAGGAGUUUCAGAUGUUGAUGUCAUUCAGAGGUGCAGAGGAGACAAUUGACUGGAAAAAGAACCAUGUUACAAUGAGGAAUCACUCUCAGAACCACACAGAAAUCUUCAUACUGCAAAUUCAAGCCAGAAUUUACUAGGGUGACUGAGAGAUCUGAAUCUUUAGUUGAGUUUGGAUUUUCAUAGCUGGUAAAAUAUAUUGUAUGAUAAACAUAUGGUGCCUUUUUGUGUUUAUUUAUUUUUCUAUGUACCUUAUAUAAAAAGAAGGAACAAGGGAAUGAACUACAGUUUCAGCUUAGUAUUUCAAAAAUCAUUUAAAAAUAUAUUCUUUCCACUUAGAUAUUACUUUGAUAAGAACAAGUCUCUAAGAACAAAAUUAGAGAUUAUGUUACCUUGAUGCCUGUUUUAUUUAGUUCUGUCAAAUACAUCUGUAGAAAGGAACAUACAGUUAAUAGACUUUGGCAUUCAAUUUCUGACAGUGUUUGCCUAUCUGUUUAUCUGCAGGGAAGAAGGGAUUCUAUUUUAACUGUCAAAGUUAACAAAAUAGGAUGUGCUGCAACAUCCCUUUUUAGUUUUUUUGGGGUUUUUGGGUUGGUUUUUUUUUUAAGGAAAUGGCCUGGUCAAUAACUAUAGAAUGUAGCUUUCUGAAGGUUUAUGUAUGGACAAAUAUAAUUUUCACCUUGUAAUGAUAUUUGUUUUGUAAAUGUAUUAGCACCAACAUUUAACACUGAAUUAAAUGCAGAUGUCUUUUGGAAAGAAAAGAAAAAAAAAAAGCCAAAAUAGUAAGUCAAAAAGAAGAUAAAAUGAUUUAGUUCUGUGAUUUUCAUGCUUUUCAAUUUUUCAGUAUGACAAUUCUUUGGCUGUGUUUAAUCCUCUGUUCAAACAGAGAGGAAUUCAGUCCUCUGGAUCUCACCUACAGGACACGUAGGAUGGAGGAGCUGUGGAUAAACAUUAUUGUUCCUCCCUUCCCUGAUCCCAUUCCAACUGAAGUCUUUCUGUGGAAGGUGCAGUGAAUACCAUGACUGAGCCCACCACAGCUUCUGCUAAUUGCUGUAAAGACUUAGCAUGCCAGGACAGUUCCUACUGAUGCUAUGCCUGAAGUAUAGUGAAACUAUAUCGUCAUAUAGAGGGACAAUUUCCCUGCAAGACAGCUUCUGCCUUCAUGGAUCUGGUGAUGCUCCCUGAAGCCUGGGCAGCUGAGAUGUCCAAACAUUGCUCUCUCUGGGCCCUACCUAUUCAGGUCACACUACAAGGGAUGAUUUGUUGAAAAUAUCAGAAGACUUCCAUAUAGAAAGGACAAUCUAGACAUGGGAAUUUACAAUUUGCUGUGAUCAGCACUACUUCCUCCUUGAAAUGAAGAUGUUAUUUGUCUUAGAGUUAUUAGCAUCUGAGAAGUACUAGAUCUAGAAUACUUGUGCACCAAUAUUAUAAUUAAUAAAGAACAAGAUGCUGUAC